GAUGAACGCUGGCGGCGUGCCUAAUACAUGCAAGUCGAGCGAACAGACGAGGAGCUUGCUCCUCUGACGUUAGCGGCGGACGGGUGAGUAACACGUGGAUAACCUACCUAUAAGACUGGGAUAACUUCGGGAAACCGGAGCUAAUACCGGAUAAUAUAUUGAACCGCAUGGUUCAAUAGUGAAAGACGGUUUUGCUGUCACUUAUAGAUGGAUCCGCGCCGCAUUAGCUAGUUGGUAAGGUAACGGCUUACCAAGGCAACGAUGCGUAGCCGACCUGAGAGGGUGAUCGGCCACACUGGAACUGAGACACGGUCCAGACUCCUACGGGAGGCAGCAGUAGGGAAUCUUCCGCAAAGGGCGAAAGCCUGACGGAGCAACGCCGCGUGAGUGAUGAAGGUCUUCGGAUCGUAAAACUCUGUUAUUAGGGAAGAACAUAUGUGUAAGUAACUAUGCACGUCUUGACGGUACCUAAUCAGAAAGCCACGGCUAACUACGUG
RNAcentral lists this ribosomal RNA (497 nucleotides) under uncultured bacterium. RNAcentral's name for it is "partial 16S ribosomal RNA". It matches the Rfam family "Bacterial small subunit ribosomal RNA", at positions 28 to 507 of the family's 1533-position model. The record is from RNAcentral.